Molecule: ribosomal RNA, 244 nt
Filed under: uncultured bacterium
Lineage: Bacteria
Description: partial small subunit ribosomal RNA
Rfam family: Bacterial small subunit ribosomal RNA
Source: RNAcentral
AGAAUCAACGCUGGCGGCGUGCCUAACACAUGCAAGUCGAACGAGAAAGUGGAGCAAUCCAUGAGUAAAGAGGCGCACGGGUGAGUAACACGUGACUAACCUACCUUCGAGUGGGGAAUAACCUGGGGAAACCCGGGCUAAUACCGCAUAAUACCUACGGGUCAAAGGAGCAAUUCGCUUGAAGAGGGGUCGCGGCAGAUUAGUUAGUUGGCGGGGUAAUGGCCCACCAAGACGAUGAUCUGUA